UACGUAGGGCGCAAGCGUUGUCCGGAAUUAUUGGGCGUAAAGAGCUCGUAGGCGGCUUGUCACGUCGGGUGUGAAAGCCCGGGGCUUAACCCCGGGUCUGCAUUCGAUACGGGCAGGCUAGAGUGUGGUAGGGGAGAUCGGAAUUCCUGGUGUAGCGGUGAAAUGCGCAGAUAUCAGGAAGAACACCCGUGGCGAAGGCGGCUCUCUGGACCACAACUGACGCUGAGGCGCGAAAGCUAGGGGAGCAAACAGG
Molecule: ribosomal RNA, 253 nt
Filed under: uncultured bacterium
Lineage: Bacteria
Description: partial 16S ribosomal RNA
Rfam family: Bacterial small subunit ribosomal RNA
Source: RNAcentral